GCCCGGGUGGUGAAAUUGGUAGACACACAGGACUUAAAAUCCUGCGGCUUCACGGUUGUGCCGGUUCGAUUCCGGCCCCGGGCACCA
This 87-nucleotide transfer RNA is filed under the name Candidatus Ruthia magnifica str. Cm (Calyptogena magnifica). RNAcentral describes it as "tRNA-Leu (TAA) (tRNA-Leu-TAA-1-1)". It matches the Rfam family "tRNA". From Rfam's summary of the family: Transfer RNA (tRNA) molecules are approximately 80 nucleotides in length. Their secondary structure includes four short double-helical elements and three loops (D, anti-codon, and T loops). Further hydrogen bonds mediate the characteristic L-shaped molecular structure. tRNAs have two regions of fundamental functional importance: the anti-codon, which is responsible for specific mRNA codon recognition, and the 3' end, to which the tRNAs corresponding amino acid is attached (by aminoacyl-tRNA synthetases). tRNAs cope with the degeneracy of the genetic code in two manners: having more than one tRNA (with a specific anti-codon) for a particular amino acid; and 'wobble' base-pairing, i.e. permitting non-standard base-pairing at the 3rd anti-codon position. The record is from RNAcentral. Lineage: Bacteria; Pseudomonadati; Pseudomonadota; Gammaproteobacteria; Pseudothioglobaceae (SeqCode).